GACGAACGCUGGCGGCGUGCUUAACACAUGCCAGUCGAACGGUGAAGGGGUCUGCUUUUGUGGGCCCUGGAUGAGUGGCGAACGGGUGAGUAACACGUGAGUAACCUGCCCCCUUCUUCUGGAUAACCGCAUGAAAGUGUGGCUAAUACGGGAUAUUCUGGGUCUGUCGCAUGAUGGGUCUGGGAAAGAUUGCGCCUUUGGGUGUUUUUGGUGGGGGAUGGGCUCGCGGCCUAUCAGCUUGUUGGUGGGGUGAUGGCCUACCAAGGCGGUGACGGGUAGCCGGCCUGAGAGGGUGGACGGUCACACUGGGACUGAGACACGGCCCAGACUCCUACGGGAGGCAGCAGUGGGGAAUAUUGCACAAUGGGCGCAAGCCUGAUGCAGCGACGCCGCGUGAGGGAUGGAGGCCUUCGGGUUGUAAACCUCUUUCGCCAGUGAAGCAGGCCUGCUCCUUGUGGGUGGGUUGACGGUAGCUGGAUAAGAAGCGCCGGCUAACUACGU
Molecule: ribosomal RNA, 501 nt
Filed under: uncultured bacterium
Lineage: Bacteria
Description: partial 16S ribosomal RNA
Rfam family: Bacterial small subunit ribosomal RNA
Source: RNAcentral